GACGAACGCUGGCGGCGUGCCUAAUACAUGCAAGUCGAGCGGACUUUCAAGAAGCUUGCUUUUUGAAAGUUAGCGGCGGACGGGUGAGUAACACGUGGGCAACCUGCCUGUAAGACGGGGAUAACUCCGGGAAACCGGGGCUAAUACCGGAUAAUAUCUUUCUUCGCAUGAAGGAAGGUUGAAAGGCGGCGCAAGCUGCCGCUUGCAGAUGGGCCCGCGGCGCAUUAGCUAGUUGGUGAGGUAACGGCUCACCAAGGCGACGAUGCGUAGCCGGCCUGGGAGGGUGAUCGGCCACAAUGGGACUGGGACACGGGCCAGACUCCUACGGGAGGCAGCAGUAGGGAAUCUUCCGCAAUGGACGAAAGUCUGACGGAGCAACGCCGCGUGGGCGAAGAAGGUCUCCGGAUCGUAAAGCUCUGUUGUCAGGGAAGAACAAGUACCGUUCGAAUAGGGCGGUACCUUGACGGUACCUGACCAGAAAGCCACGGCUAACUACGUGCCAGCCGCCGCCGUAA
This 515-nucleotide ribosomal RNA is filed under the name uncultured bacterium. RNAcentral describes it as "partial 16S ribosomal RNA". It matches the Rfam family "Bacterial small subunit ribosomal RNA", at positions 28 to 523 of the family's 1533-position model. The record is from RNAcentral.